This 526-nucleotide ribosomal RNA is filed under the name uncultured bacterium. RNAcentral describes it as "partial 16S ribosomal RNA". It matches the Rfam family "Bacterial small subunit ribosomal RNA", at positions 355 to 874 of the family's 1533-position model. The record is from RNAcentral.
UGGGGAAUUUUGGACAAUGGGGGCAACCCUGAUCCAGCCAUCCCGCGUGUGCGAUGAAGGCCUUCGGGUUGUAAAGCACUUUUGGCAGGGAAGAAACAGCCUGGGAUAAUACCCCGGGCGACUGACGGUACCUGCAGAAUAAGCACCGGCUAACUACGUGCCAGCAGCCGCGGUAAUACGUAGGGUGCAAGCGUUAAUCGGAAUUACUGGGCGUAAAGCGUGCGCAGGCGGUUCGGAAAGAAAGGUGUGAAAUCCCAGGGCUUAACCUUGGAACUGCACUUUUAACUACCGAGCUAGAGUACGUCAGAGGGGGGUAGAAUUCCACGUGUAGCAGUGAAAUGCGUAGAGAUGUGGAGGAAUACCGAUGGCGAAGGCAGCCCCCUGGGAUGAUACUGACGCUCAUGCACGAAAGCGUGGGGAGCAAACAGGAUUAGAUACCCUGGUAGUCCACGCCCUAAACGAUGUCAACUAGUUGUUGGGGAUUCAUUUCCUUAGUAACGUAGCUAACGCGUGAAGUUGACCGCCU